This 83-nucleotide transfer RNA is filed under the name Bacteroidales bacterium. RNAcentral describes it as "tRNA-Tyr". It matches the Rfam family "tRNA". Rfam says of the family: Transfer RNA (tRNA) molecules are approximately 80 nucleotides in length. RNAcentral also lists the same sequence under 2 other names. The record is from RNAcentral. Lineage: Bacteria; Pseudomonadati; Bacteroidota; Bacteroidia; Bacteroidales.
GGGUAGUUACCAGAGUGGCCAAAUGGGGCAGACUGUAAAUCUGCUGGCUCUUGCCUUCGGUGGUUCGAAUCCAUCACUACCCA